This is a long non-coding RNA of Corvus hawaiiensis (hawaiian crow), 668 nucleotides long. RefSeq lists it as uncharacterized. NCBI's taxonomy places the organism in Eukaryota, Metazoa, Chordata, Aves, Passeriformes, Corvidae. The record is from RefSeq and is a predicted model, not a curated record. The transcript has 3 exons.
GAGCAUUCCACAGGUCCUAGUGCUACCCUCCCACGGGCUAGGGGACACCCGGAGCCUGUGUCCCCUGGGGAAGGGCUGCUGGGGUCACCAAGGCACCCAGAGCCUGUGGGAAGGGGCUGCUGGUGGUGGGAAAGGGCAGGGAGCAACACUGGGAAUUGCAGCUGGCACAGGAACAGCCCAGGGAUCAUCUCCCUCAGCGUGGAGUUUUUGCCUCUGGACAGGUCCAGGAUGUUACCAGCGGAGGGAAAAGCUGGAAAAUUACAUCCAGUUAUGAGGAGAUCCAUCGAUCAUCAUCUCCUUAACAUGGGGAGUGACCAGCAGGCCAGGCUGAAAGGCAGCAAAGAAGGGAUGUCUGGAAGCUUUUGGGAUUUUGGAUACUGGAACUGGCAAAUCCUGUUUCCAGUAAGCCUGGUGCCUGUGCUUGUGCUGAUUCUUUCCUGGAUGCAUCAUGCACUCUGGAGCCAGAGGUGCCACUCCAGAUUUGCUCCUGUUGAAAUCUCAGCUUCCCAUCACUUCUAAGCUCAAAUUCUCCACCUGCCAUGGGUUUGGCCAAAAUUCCCUCAGGGUGAUUCCCUUCUCCCUGUGCCAAGCUGCAGAACAGCUCAGGAACAAUGGAUAAUUGUAAGAAAAAACCUAAAAAAACUCAAAUAAAACCACCACCAACCAAU